Molecule: ribosomal RNA, 336 nt
Filed under: Crypthecodinium cohnii
Lineage: Eukaryota; Dinophyceae; Gonyaulacales; Crypthecodiniaceae
Description: partial Bacterial small subunit ribosomal RNA
Rfam family: Bacterial small subunit ribosomal RNA
Source: RNAcentral
CUCGAAAGAGCAGCUAAUACCGCAUACGACCUGAGGGUGAAAGCGGGGGAUCGCAAGACCUCGCGCGAUUGGAGCGGCCGAUAUCAGAUUAGCUAGUUGGUGGGGUAAGAGCCCACCAAGGCGACGAUCUGUAGCUGGUCUGAGAGGACGACCAGCCACACUGGGACUGAGACACGGCCCAGACUCCUACGGGAGGCAGCAGUGGGGAAUAUUGGACAAUGGGCGCAAGCCUGAUCCAGCCAUGCCGCGUGAGUGAUGAAGGCCUUAGGGUUGUAAAGCUCUUUCAGUGGGGAAGAUAAUGACGGUACCCAGUAAAGAAGCCCUGGCUAACUCCGU